Ictalurus punctatus (channel catfish) is the source of this 1506-nucleotide long non-coding RNA. The record is from Ensembl. NCBI's taxonomy places the organism in Eukaryota, Metazoa, Chordata, Actinopteri, Siluriformes, Ictaluridae.
GUUGGAAAUGCCUGAGUUCUGAUUUUAUGUGUAAAGUAAAACCCCGGGUUUCAAUUCUAUGGGUAAGUGAAAUAGGCCUUUUCUGGAAACCUAUGGGUUAUCUAGUGUGUAAAUACAGUAUAAAUACUGGAGCUUAAGCUCAGGGUAGGGGGGAUCACUUCUGAGAAUUCUCAUCGGUGUGGAUCUCGUGUGGUGGAAUGGAACAAUAAAGCUGGACCCUUGCUUCUUCUCACUCACGGCUGGUGUAUUUUUUCUAUCUCCAACUGGUCUCAGAGGUAGAUAAGCGCUGAUUGACUCAGGAGCAGCAGGGAAUUUCAUUGACCAGACCACCAUACAGUAGCACAACAUCCCCGUUCGUCCACUAAUCACACCACGCCGGAUUCAAGCCAUCGAUGGGGGCCCCAUUGUACUGAACCACUCAAUUUCCGGACCAGCGCACUCCAUCAGGAGAGCAUGGUGUUCUACGUCAUGGUGUCCGCCAGACAUCCAGUGGUCCUAGGCCUCCCCUGGUUAGAACACCAUAACCCGAGUAUUUCCUGGACUCAAAAGGAGAUCACGCACUGGUCCCCCCCAUUGCAUCAACCAUUGUCUUCAGACACCCGUGAUCAUCCUAGCGACCACCUCCAUCGAGAGCCCAAACAAAACUACCACAGUCCACAUUCCCACUGAAUACCAGGACCUCAGCGAGGUGUUUAGCAAAGAAAAGACUAGUGGAUUACCACCUCAUCGGCCUUACGACUGUGCCAACGAUCUGCUUCUGGGAACUACGCCACCCCGAGGCAGGGUUUACCCACUAUCACAGACUGAGCAGAGCGCUAUGGAGGAGUACAUCCAAUACAGGCACUAUAAAAGGGUUACAUAAGACCCUGUACGUCCCCUGCCUCUGCAGGAUUCUUUUUUGUGGAGAAGAAGGGAGGAGGGCUACAACCAUGCAUAGACUACAGGGAUUUAAACCAAUGCUGUAUCAAGUAUCGCUACCCUCUUCCAUUAGUACCAGUCGCUCUAGAACAACUUUGUGCUGCUACCAUCUUCACAAAGCUGGACCUCCACAGUGCAUACAACCUGGUCCGGAUCAGAGAGGGAGAUGAGUGGAAGACGGGGUUUAGCACCACCUCCGGGCACUGUGUAUGGGCUUUCUAGCACUCCCUCUGUCUUCCAGUGUCUAAUCAACGACGUCUUAAGGGACAUGCUGGGACGUAACAUAAUCGCGUACAUCGACGAUAUAUUGAUAUAUUUCAGUUCCGAGGAGGAGCACGUUCACCAUGUCCGUAAAGUCCUGCAAAGAUUACUCCAGCACCAGCUUUACGUCAAAGCCGAAAAAUGUGAGUUCCAUGAAAACACCAUUUCAUCAGCCCUGAGGGGGUUACCAUGGACCAAGUAAAAGUAAAAGCAGUAGUAGACUGACCCAAGCCUGCAACCAUGAAGGAGUUACAGAGAUUCCUGGGUUUCGCCAAUUUCUACCAAAGGUUCCUCCAAAAUUUCAGCUCCAUAACAAACCCACUGACG